Molecule: ribosomal RNA, 497 nt
Filed under: uncultured bacterium
Lineage: Bacteria
Description: partial 16S ribosomal RNA
Rfam family: Bacterial small subunit ribosomal RNA
Source: RNAcentral
GACGAACGCUGGCGGCGUGCCUAAUACAUGCAAGUAGAACGCUGACGCGAGGAGCUUGCUCUUCUUGUCUGAGUUGCGCACGGGUGAGUAACGCGUAGGUAACCUGCCUUGUAGCGGGGGAUCACUAUUGGAAACGAUAGCUAAUACCGCAUAACACUGGAUGCCACAUUUCAUUUAUUUGCAAGGGGCACUUGCUCCACUACAAGAUGGACCUGCGUUGUAUUCGCUAGUAGGUGAGGUAAUGGCUCACCUAUGCGACGAUACAUAGCCGACCUGAGAGGGUGACCGGACACACGGGGACUGAGACAAGGCCCAGACUCCUACGGGAGGCAGCAGUAGGGAAUCUUCGGCAAUGGGGGCAACCCUGACCGAGCAACGCCGCGUGGGUGAAGAAGGGUGUCGGAUCGGAAAGCGCUGUUGUAGGGCAAGAACGGGUGUGAGAGUGGAAAGUGCACACUGUGACGGUAGCUUAACAGAAAGGGACGGCUAACUACGUG